GUACUUAGUGGCGGACGGGUGAGUAACGCGUGAGAAUCUGCCUUCUGGUCGGGGACAACCAUUGGAAACGAUGGCUAAUACCGGAUAAGCCCACGGGUAAAAGAUUAAUUGCCAGAAGAAGAGCUCGCGUCUGAUUAGCUAGUUGGUGAGGUAAAAGCUCACCAAGGCAUCGAUCAGUAGCUGGUCUGAGAGGAUGACCAGCCACACUGGGACUGAGACACGGCCCAGACUCCUACGGGAGGCAGCAGUGGGGAAUUUUCCGCAAUGGGCGAAAGCCUGACGGAGCAAGACCGCGUGAGGGAGGAAGGCUCUUGGGUUGUAAACCUCUUUUCUUGGGGAAUAAAAAAAUGAAGGUACCCAAGGAAUCAGCAUCGGCUAACUCCGUGCCAGCAGCCGCGGUAAUACGGAGGAUGCAAGCGUUAUCCGGAAUUAUUGGGCGUAAAGCGUCCGCAGGUGGCACUUCAAGUCUGCUGUCAAAGACCGGGGCUUAACCCUGGAAAGGCAGUGGAAACUGAAGCGCUAGAGUGUCGUAGGGGUAGAGGGAAUUCCUGGUGUAGCGGUGAAAUGCGUAGAGAUCAGGAAGAACAUCGGUGGCGAAAGCGCUCUACUGGACGACAACUGACACUCAGGGACGAAAGCUAGGGGAGCGAAUGGGAUUAGAUACCCCAGUAGUCCUAGCCGUAAACGAUGGAUACUAGGUGUGGCUUGUAUCGACCCGAGCCGUGCCGUAGCUAACGCGUUAAGUAUCCCGCCUGGGGAGUACGCGCGCAAGCGUGAAACUCAAAGGAAUUGACGGGGGCCCGCACAAGUGGUGGAGUAUGUGGUUUAAUUCGAUGCAAGGCGAAGAACCUUACCAGGGCUUGACAUGUCUGGAAUCUGCUUGAAAGGGCAGAGUGCCUUCGGGAGCCAGAACACAGGUGGUGCAUGGC
Molecule: ribosomal RNA, 929 nt
Filed under: uncultured cyanobacterium
Lineage: Bacteria; Bacillati; Cyanobacteriota
Description: bacterial SSU rRNA
Rfam family: Bacterial small subunit ribosomal RNA
Source: RNAcentral